RNAcentral lists this ribosomal RNA (274 nucleotides) under uncultured bacterium. RNAcentral describes it as "partial 16S ribosomal RNA". It matches the Rfam family "Bacterial small subunit ribosomal RNA", at positions 523 to 796 of the family's 1533-position model. The record is from RNAcentral.
AUACGGAGGGUGCAAGCGUUGUUCGGAAUCACUGGGCGUAAAGGGCGCGCAGGCGGUUUGGUAAGUCAGAUGUGAAAGCCCACGGCUCAACCGUGGAAGUGCAUUUGAAACUGUGAGACUUGAGUACUAGAGGGGAAAGUGGAAUUCCCGGUGUAGAGGUGAAAUUCGUAGAUAUCGGGAGGAAUACCGGUGGCGAAGGCGACUUUCUGGCUAGAUACUGACGCUGAGGCGCGAAAGCGUGGGGAGCAAACAGGAUUAGAAACCCUAGUAGUCC